UCUGGUAAUGAUGGCAGAGAGGUCACACCCGUUCCCAUACCGAACACGGAAGUUAAGCUCUCUAGCGCCGAUG
Molecule: ribosomal RNA, 73 nt
Filed under: Bacillus anthracis (anthrax bacterium)
Lineage: Bacteria; Bacillati; Bacillota; Bacilli; Caryophanales; Bacillaceae
Also listed under: 6 other names
Source: RNAcentral